AAUCCGUGGAAACCUGCUCCACUGGCCGUCAGCAGAAACUUCCUCCGAGACCACAGCGAACACCAAUGAGGAGGGAUAGGGCGAAGAUCUCUGAGAGCAGAGAGAUGAGAAGCUGUCAGAGUUCUCACAGAGUCUCCAGCACCAGCAGACCUUCUUGUUCUCUGAUCAUUAUUCUCCAUUAUGAUGUUCUGUGGAACCUGAAGUGGGACUGAGUCAUGAGUGUCAGAGAACAUCCUGAGUGUGAGGACACCACAGCACCAUCUGUGAAGGCUUUGGGACAUGCGUUAGCUGGCCAAGCUGUUGAUUUGUACUCUGAUCGCCAGACGGAAUUCAAACCGCACAGACGUCACUGAAUUCCCCUCAAGAAAUCUUCCUCAGUUUGAAAGUCUACCUCAAGUGUUGGCGACUCGUCUCCAGGUUGAAAGAGGGAACGUCCCAUGUGCACAUGGCUCGCUCUGAUGAAAAUACAGAGAGGUUUAAAUCUUUUACAAGUGCUCAUAGGUGUGUGUUGGGGCUGUGCUGCACAUCAGUAGCUAAACAGAUGAGAGAACUGAUGCUGCACGCACACACAGGAUUUGCUGAAAUAAGAAAUGAAUUGACAAUUCGGAGCUGAUGGGAGGAGCAUGUGGAGUUCAGUUCAUGACGCCUCAAGCUGCACUGAAGUAAAAAGUAACAUGAACUGCUAUGAUAUACUUACAGUUUGAUUAACCCCCCGCCCCCACAGUUUCACCAUAUUUACAAAGCAAUAAUUAAAUAAAACUACUUAAGAUAUUGAUCAGUGUGUUAUAUAAUGUCAACACCAGAUUAAUUUAGUAGUAGCUUUCAGAAACAUAUUGUGCAGAGUGUUAAUCAUUUUUGUGGGUUUGCAAUUUAUAUAGUAUUACCAGCUGGUUUAGUGCUUGUCUUGCUUGCUGUCAGCCUCAUAACAGACCUGCUUUUUGCAGAUUGUCAACUACAGUUUUAAAUUAGUGUUACUGUAAUAAUUUAAAUUUAGUGAGUCAAGUUUAUUCAUAUACUUUUUAUAAAUGAAGUACACAUAAAUUAAAGGUUUAAGUUUUUCUAUACAAAAACUCCAUCAAGUGGUUUGGAAAGGAAAUAAUAGUGAAUAAAUAGAAUUAAUCUUUUAGGUCUUCAGCUCUGCCAUCUCCAGCUCCAGCGCUUGUCCUUUUCUCAAUAUCUUUUAAUAAUAUUCUUUCCAUUUCCACCAUCCUGUAAAUAUUGUUUUUAUUCUUCAAGCUACAGCAUCUUGAACUUUUCCACAUUUUGGUCAAGUUACAAUCACAAGUCUCAAUGUAUUUCAUUGAGAGUUUUAAGUGAUAAACCAACUUAGUGCAUGGCUGUUAAAAAGCACAAUUUACAAAUAAAAAUAUGAGAAGUGUGGUGUACAUGCGCAUUUAACCCCCUUUUACUCUCAGACUCCUAAAUAAAGAGUGUAAGAUUUUUGAAAA
Molecule: long non-coding RNA, 1448 nt
Organism: Xiphophorus couchianus (Monterrey platyfish)
Lineage: Eukaryota; Metazoa; Chordata; Actinopteri; Cyprinodontiformes; Poeciliidae
Exons: 3
Source: RefSeq, a predicted model, not a curated record